UGGGGAAUAUUGCACAAUGGGCGCAAGCCUGAUGCAGCCAUGCCGCGUGUAUGAAGAAGGCCUUCGGGUUGUAAAGUACUUUCAGCGGGGAGGAAGGCGAUAAGGUUAAUAACCUUGUCGAUUGACGUUACCCGCAGAAGAAGCACCGGCUAACUCCGUGCCAGCAGCCGCGGUAAUACGGAGGGUGCAAGCGUUAAUCGGAAUUACUGGGCGUAAAGCGCACGCAGGCGGUCUGUCAAGUCGGAUGUGAAAUCCCCGGGCUUAACCUGGGAACUGCAUUCGA
This 283-nucleotide ribosomal RNA is filed under the name uncultured Enterobacter sp. RNAcentral describes it as "partial 16S ribosomal RNA". It matches the Rfam family "Bacterial small subunit ribosomal RNA", at positions 355 to 630 of the family's 1533-position model. Lineage: Bacteria; Pseudomonadati; Pseudomonadota; Gammaproteobacteria; Enterobacterales; Enterobacteriaceae. The record is from RNAcentral.